UGUCAAGAGUCGUGGCGUCGUUUUGGCGAGCAGAUUUCUUUUGCCUAAUCGAGGGUGAAAGAAAAUG
This is a non-coding RNA of Mesorhizobium metallidurans STM 2683, 67 nucleotides long. The record is from Rfam. Lineage: Bacteria; Pseudomonadati; Pseudomonadota; Alphaproteobacteria; Hyphomicrobiales; Phyllobacteriaceae.